GUUAUAGUAUGACGCGGUAGCACAAGGAGUAUUUUUUGCAGCAUAUAACUGAUAUGAAAAAAAACGAUUCUUCUUGGACAUUACUCAAAAUUGUCCUUUGAGGCGGCGCUGCGCAGUACCAAAUUGGUACCGCGAGAGCGUUUCAAAUACAAACGGUGCAGUCUGCUAUCAAAUGAUUCUCGCGUGACUUUGAUGUCAUCGUGUCGAUCAGUCUUGCGCAACACUUUUUCCGCGGUUCUUCUCCAUCUUCCGCUCAAAAAGUAUACUCAAGAGGCUAAUAUCUGCAGCAAAGUGAAUAUCGAGGUCCAUAGUUGGGGACCACCGAUCUAAGGAAUAAGUUAGUUGGAUUCGCUUCCUCUUCUGUCUUUGCGACGUUGGACCCAAUACUUCAAG
Long non-coding RNA from Triplophysa dalaica, 393 nucleotides. RefSeq lists it as uncharacterized. The transcript has 3 exons. Lineage: Eukaryota; Metazoa; Chordata; Actinopteri; Cypriniformes; Nemacheilidae. The record is from RefSeq and is a predicted model, not a curated record.